Molecule: unclassified non-coding RNA, 201 nt
Filed under: Hevea brasiliensis (rubber tree)
Lineage: Eukaryota; Viridiplantae; Streptophyta; Magnoliopsida; Malpighiales; Euphorbiaceae
Source: RNAcentral
AGUUAUCAUAGCUAGCUGUGAUAUUGUAGAUAAAAGGUGAAAGAAACUUAGAUGACCUACUGAGAAUUUGACUAUGGACAAAGUUAUUGUGCCAGAUAUGAUCAGAAAGUCAAAGCAUGAACCGAAGUUAGAUCACAAAUGGAGUAUCUGCAAAAACACCAUGAAAGUAUGGACUAUGAUAUGUUAUCUAGAGAAUUGUUG